Long non-coding RNA from Numida meleagris (helmeted guineafowl), 1862 nucleotides. RefSeq lists it as uncharacterized. Lineage: Eukaryota; Metazoa; Chordata; Aves; Galliformes; Numididae. The record is from RefSeq and is a predicted model, not a curated record. The transcript has 5 exons.
AUUUCCUGAGAAAGAGUGUUGGAGUGUUCUGUAGCCAGAGUCCCUAUCACCAGUCAGAUUCCUGACAAAAUGGCCAGUGGUAGUUCUGUGUAGGUGUGUGGAUGCACAUGUCAUGUAUGGAUUUCACUUAGAUAGUCUACUACAUCUGUUUUGGCAUGAGCUCAAUCUCCUUAUCUUGUUCAGCUGGAGCCAGAGGUGCUUUGUUUCCAGCUGCAGAAGCUGUUAGAGACAUUGUGGUGAGUGAAUGAAUUGUCCUUCCUAAUGGAACAUUCGGCUCUUUUUCUUUGCUACUACUAAGCCAUAAAUAAUGGUUAGUGUUCAUUAGAACAAGUGGAGUCCUUUUACUUUUUUUACAUGUCCAUUUUAGCAUUUUUUCCAAUGUUAAUAUAAAUAAGUCGGGCAAACUUUGAAAAUAUUAUAGAUGUGUCCACUUCCUGGUCAGUGUGGUUUCUCCACACUAGCAACACAAGUUUUAUGUUAUCUAGUUGAGCAUGACUCCCGAGGUGGAAAUCCUAAUUUGUCAAGUGUUCAUUCCUACAUGUAUCCUGCAUGAACUGCACUUUUUACUAAGCUGACACUGCAGGAAAUUGAACGACUUGGGUCAUUUGAUUUCAGAACUAGGUAUAACUCCUCUUCCCUGAGUUCAGGGCUUGAAUUUGGUCCAAGUUGAUACCUGUGGUUGUGACCUAAAGAAGAAAAUUGAGGAUCUUUCUGGAAAAAAAAAAGAAAGAAACGAAAGGACAGGCAGUAAAACUGACGUGUAGCUGUCACUGUAUUUUUAAGUGGUGUCUUAUAGCAAAUGUGUAUCGCCUUCGAAAAAAAACAUUUCUUCUGGAAGAAAGUUUGACAUUUCUGGAAAUACUGCAUUGCUAAUGUCUUGGAGAAUGCUUUCUCACUCUCAUUGCUGUGUCUUAUUUAUUAACUUCUCUCAUUUCAGUAUUUUACAAUGACUGCACUAUGUCAGUAUAUAAUCUUUAGCUGAAAAAGCUUUUAGAUAUUCUUAAGUAAUGUCUUAAGUAAUCAAAUUACUAGCAUAAGAGGUAUUUGAAAAAAAAUUCCCUUCUCUUGAAAAAAAAACAUUUUGUAAUGAAAGCAAUGACAGCCAUGAGCAGACACUGUUGUUUGUUCAGAGCUCCAGCAACUUCAUCAUUUCUGUCAUCCCUCCCAGGUAUAUUGCCUUGCACUUGACAAACAUGUGCAGCUGUUCUGAGACACCUUGCUUAAAACAGAAGAGGGGAAAAAGAGUUGAAGAACAAGAUGGGAACAUCUAAUGGGAAAAUGGAAAUGGCUAAAAAAAAAAAUCCUAUUUAUUUAUUUAUUUAUUUAUUUAUUUAUUUAAAUUCCACCUCAAUAUUAUCAAAAUAUUUCUGGGAAAUAAACUUUGCCAAGUGCUUUGUUGAAGAAUCUCCUGGAAACUUGCUCCUGUUUCCUCUAGCACAUCCAUUUCCACUGCAGCCCACCAUAAAAAGUGACAAGAUUGGUCAGACAGGACCUGCCCAUUGUGAAGCCAUGCUGGUUACCUCAGAUCACCUCCUUGUCUUCCGUGUGCCCUAGCAUAGCUUCCAGAAUGAUCUGUUCCAUGAUUUUCCCCGACGCAGAGAUGAGGCUGAAAGAAAUGCUGAAAGGCUGUGUUGGCUUAGUGAGACUUACCCAGAAAAAUUACAUGUGGCAUCUCGUAUUGUUCAUGUGUUUCAUUUCCUCUGUGAUCAGAAACAGAAGUUGAAAGGUGACUCUUAUGUUUCACAAGAACACAGUUGCAAGUCCUCAGUUCUGUUCAUGCCAGAUCACUCCUCCUCUGAAGAAAUAAAACCGUGAAGACAGCUGCAGCAUCUUUUUACACAAUGAAAAGCCUUGCAUUUGUC